UACGGAGGGUGCAAGCGUUAUCCGGAUUUACUGGGUUUAAAGGGUGCGUAGGCGGUUUUUUAAGUCAGUGGUGAAAUACCCGUGCUCAACAUGGGAAUUGCCAUUGAUACUGAAGGACUUGAAUAUGAGUGAGGCAGGCGGAAUGAUGCAUGUAGCGGUGAAAUGCUUAGAUAUGUUUCAGAACACCUAUUGCGAAGGCAGCUUGCUAAUUCAUGAUUGACGCUGAGGCACGAAAGCGUGGGGAGCAAACAGG
RNAcentral lists this ribosomal RNA (253 nucleotides) under uncultured bacterium. Its description in RNAcentral is "partial 16S ribosomal RNA". It matches the Rfam family "Bacterial small subunit ribosomal RNA", at positions 524 to 776 of the family's 1533-position model. The record is from RNAcentral.